Mauremys mutica (yellowpond turtle) is the source of this 553-nucleotide long non-coding RNA. RefSeq lists it as uncharacterized. The record is from RefSeq and is a predicted model, not a curated record. NCBI's taxonomy places the organism in Eukaryota, Metazoa, Chordata, Testudines, Geoemydidae. The transcript has 3 exons.
GUUGGUUCCUGAAGAAGAUGGAUCACAGAGCGAGUGGGGAGCUGGACUGUGAUCAGGAAAGAAAGCACUGCUGGGCUCUUAUAAGAUUAGGCUUUCCCUAGUGGAGUAAAUAGUAGAAGAAUAGCUACAGGUUCAGAGCAAGAUUUAACAACGAAAAGGAAAGCAGAAGAGAGAACACAAGUGAAAAGGAAGUGUCCACCUCUCCCCAAUGCAAGGAAGCAAAGAAGAGAGACUUGGGUGGGGUUCCAGAGAGAGAAGAUUCCUGCCUUGUGCCAAACCUAUAAAAGGGAGUGAAAGAGAACAAAGAGGGUCCCAGUCAUGAGAAAGCCCCUGCUUUUCACCCAAGAUGGCUGCUGGAACCAACAAGGACUGUACUGGGGAAAGGAUGGGCCCAGACUAGGAAGGAGUCUAAUCUGUGAAAAAAGCUUAUUGGAACAUCUCUCAGAGUGAGAUUUAUUAGUAUUUGGUCUCUUAAUGUACUAGGCUUCAACUUGCGUGUUUUGUUUGAUUUUGCUUGGUAACUUACUUUGUUCUGUCUAUUACUUAAAACCAC